Molecule: ribosomal RNA, 631 nt
Filed under: Alteromonadales bacterium HOT4B4
Lineage: Bacteria; Pseudomonadati; Pseudomonadota; Gammaproteobacteria; Alteromonadales
Description: bacterial SSU rRNA
Rfam family: Bacterial small subunit ribosomal RNA
Source: RNAcentral
CGAGUGGCGGACGGGUGAGUAAUGCUUGGGAACUUGCCUUUGCGAGGGGGAUAACAGUUGGAAACGACUGCUAAUACCGCAUAAUGUCUUCGGACCAAACGGGGCUUCGGCUCCGGCGCAAAGAGAGGCCCAAGUGAGAUUAGCUAGUUGGUAAGGUAACGGCUUACCAAGGCGACGAUCUCUAGCUGUUCUGAGAGGAAGAUCAGCCACACUGGGACUGAGACACGGCCCAGACUCCUACGGGAGGCAGCAGUGGGGAAUAUUGCACAAUGGGGGAAACCCUGAUGCAGCCAUGCCGCGUGUGUGAAGAAGGCCUUCGGGUUGUAAAGCACUUUCAGUUGUGAGGAAAAGUUAGUAGUUAAUACCUGCUAGCCGUGACGUUAACAACAGAAGAAGCACCGGCUAACUCCGUGCCAGCAGCCGCGGUAAUACGGAGGGUGCGAGCGUUAAUCGGAAUUACUGGGCGUAAAGCGCACGCAGGCGGUUUGUUAAGCUAGAUGUGAAAGCCCCGGGCUCAACCUGGGAUGGUCAUUUAGAACUGGCAGACUAGAGUCUUGGAGAGGGGAGUGGAAUUCCAGGUGUAGCGGUGAAAUGCGUAGAUAUCUGGAGGAACAUCAGUGGCGAAGGCGAC